UACAUUUGCAACUUUGAUAGAAAAGCUAUCAAUACAUAAAAAUCAUUGAAAUAAUAUUGGCAUG
This 64-nucleotide non-coding RNA is filed under the name unclassified sequences. The record is from Rfam.